Molecule: long non-coding RNA, 676 nt
Organism: Lactuca sativa (garden lettuce)
Lineage: Eukaryota; Viridiplantae; Streptophyta; Magnoliopsida; Asterales; Asteraceae
Source: RefSeq, a predicted model, not a curated record
AAAGGUCUAAACGGUAACUUUUGGAUCUGUUUUUAAAAGAUCUUGUGGGGGAGGGGCAAGUAUUGUAAAAAGAGAAAAUGUUGAAUAGAGGCACGGGAUUUAGACCCGACACCCCUUCCUCGUGUGCAUUUAGUAUCAAACCCUAGCCCUAAUUAUAAAGCCGCCAUGUACAUGAUGUUUAGCAACCGCCACACCCCUCCGUUCACUGUUCUGAUCAGGCAAGGCCGACUGCUGCCUCGACGUUGAGCACCGCCUGAGCAUACGUUGUUGUCGGAGGGCGUAGUGAGGAUCCUGAAGCUUGGAGCCAAAUUCGUACGCCACCGUCGCAGGAGACCAUGGUGGUUGGUGUGUUCGUGGUCGUCAUUGAAUCUAUUUCCAACUGUAAUGACUCCCUUCGCUUCUCUCUUCAUUUCUCGAGUCCCGUCGCCGUCGUAGCUCCGGACGUUUCUCCUGUCGUUGAGCUUUUUGGCUGCCAUCAGCCACCGCGAGGUACUUCUUAGAAUCACGGGAAGACGACAGUUUGAUUGUACACACGAGAUAAAGAGUUAUCUUUUGGAGGAAUCCUAGAUUAUUAAUCUGACUAUUAUGGAAUUGUGUUUUGUUAAUUGAUUAUUAGGAUUUUUGUGAAAUGUAUUAUGAGAAUUUUUGUAAUUUAAAAAUGUAAAUUUGUUUGAAA